Molecule: non-coding RNA, 229 nt
Organism: Pelobates cultripes (western spadefoot toad)
Lineage: Eukaryota; Metazoa; Chordata; Amphibia; Anura; Pelobatidae
Source: the annotation of a GenBank genome assembly
UGGGAGAGGGGGAUGGGUGAGGUUUACAAAACCCUUGGGGGUUUGGGUUGCAAAGUGUCUAUCCUGGUCUUAUGUGGUAGUUGCCAGGUAAAGUGGGGGGAGGCGGUGUUGUACACCUUGGGUUGGUCGUGUGGUUGGUGUCGCCCGGGGAACCCGGGGUUCAGGGGUGGGGAAGAGGAGGAAGAGUUUCACGUUCCUGUUACUCCUCUCCCCCCCGCGCUAGGUGUGG